RNAcentral lists this ribosomal RNA (253 nucleotides) under uncultured bacterium. RNAcentral describes it as "partial 16S ribosomal RNA". It matches the Rfam family "Bacterial small subunit ribosomal RNA", at positions 524 to 776 of the family's 1533-position model. The record is from RNAcentral.
GACGUAGGGCGCGAGCGUUGUCCGGAUUUAUUGGGCGUAAAGAGCUCGUAGGCGGCUCGUUGCGUCAACCGUGAAAACCCGGGGCUUAACUUCGGGCUUGCGGUUGAUACGGGCGGGCUGGAGUUCGGUAGGGGAGACUGGAAUUCCUGGUGUAGCGGUGAAAUGCGCAGAUAUCAGGAGGAACACCGGUGGCGAAGGCGGAUCUCUGGGCCUGUCCUGACGCUGAGGCGCGAAAGCUAGGGGAGCGAACAGG